GAUGAAGAACGUAGCGAAAUGCGAUAAGUAGUGUGAAUUGCAGGAUUCCGUGAAUCAUCGAAUCUUUGAACGCACAUUGCGCCUUCUGGUAUUCCGGAAGGCAUGCCUGUUCGAGAGUCAUUAACAACCGUUUCGAUCCCUUUCUUUCAGAAAUUACAAAGAGGAAAAGGGUUUGGUUAUGGUGGAGGAGGGAAAGGGAGCGUUUAGCCUGUAAAAAAAGAGGCUGUGUUCCGCCCCCCCCCCAAAAUUGUACAGGCGGUCGUGUGCGCCCACGCAUCGAGGUGUUGUAAAAGCUGCCACGGCACUUUUCACCUGUGCAGUGCGAGAUUGGCCAGCCGGUUUAAAAACCCCUCCAAACAAUCAAAGGUUGACCUCGGAUCAGGUAGGGAUACCCGCUGAACUUAAGCAUAUCAAUAAGCGGAGGA
RNAcentral lists this unclassified non-coding RNA (425 nucleotides) under soil metagenome. RNAcentral's name for it is "partial contains 5.8S ribosomal RNA, internal transcribed spacer 2, and large subunit ribosomal RNA". The stretch from base 1 to 120 matches the Rfam family "5.8S ribosomal RNA", at positions 35 to 154 of the family's 154-position model. The record is from RNAcentral.